This 218-nucleotide unclassified non-coding RNA is filed under the name Hevea brasiliensis (rubber tree). Lineage: Eukaryota; Viridiplantae; Streptophyta; Magnoliopsida; Malpighiales; Euphorbiaceae. The record is from RNAcentral.
GAGAAGCUGCUGAUUGCAAGGAUUUUCAUCUCUACAAUAACGAAUGCAGCAUGCAAGAGUCCUCUGUUCUCUUCUUAAUAUUUAAUGAAUGGCACCUCUUGGCUGUGGAUGAACUUCAACUUGCUGCCACUUUGUAAUAACUUGGGACUGUGGAAUUUCUUUAUUGAUAGCUUCUUCAAGUAAGGCACAACUUCCUUUCUGUCUUCUGCUUUGCGGCA